ACCUUAUCACAAGUGUGCACGACAAGUGAAGUGAUAUAUGUGCUUCCCAAAGAGGAAAUGAUCAACUCUGGCUUCUCUGACGUCUCGCAUCUGUAAAUACUCUCU
This is a non-coding RNA of Caenorhabditis elegans, 105 nucleotides long. NCBI's taxonomy places the organism in Eukaryota, Metazoa, Nematoda, Chromadorea, Rhabditida, Rhabditidae. The record is from Ensembl.